GAUUUCUGGCUCGUCGUUCUAGCCCGCUUCCUUCGGGGAGUGAGUGCUGGUACGAUCUGCCAUCCUUCCAGAGAGCCGUGAGUACCAUUUACUUGGCCGCUCGCGUGCGAUCUGGAUCAUUUACUUUGAAAAAAUUAGAGUGUUUAAAGCAGGCUUACGCCUUGAAUACAUUAGCAUGGAAUAAUAACAUAGGACUUCGGUUCUAUUUUGUUGGUUUCUAGGACCUUAGUAAUGAUUGAUAGGGAUAGUUGGGGGUGCUAGUAUUCAGCGGCCAGAGGUGAAAUUCUUGGAUUCGCUGAAGACUAACUUAUGCGAAAGCAUU
This 322-nucleotide ribosomal RNA is filed under the name Cercozoa sp. RNAcentral describes it as "SSU rRNA". The stretch from base 110 to 322 matches the Rfam family "Eukaryotic small subunit ribosomal RNA", at positions 741 to 955 of the family's 1831-position model. Lineage: Eukaryota; Cercozoa. The record is from RNAcentral.